Molecule: ribosomal RNA, 253 nt
Filed under: uncultured bacterium
Lineage: Bacteria
Description: partial 16S ribosomal RNA
Rfam family: Bacterial small subunit ribosomal RNA
Source: RNAcentral
UACGUAGGGUGCGGGCGUUAAUCGGAAUUACUGGGCGUAAAGCGUGCGCAGGCGGUUUGCUAAGACAGGUGUGAAAUCCCCGGGCUUAACCUGGGAACUGCAUUUGUGACUGCAUCGCUAGAGUACGGUAGAGGGGGAUGGAAUUCCGCGUGUAGCAGUGAAAUGCGUAGAUAUGCGGAGGAACACCGAUGGCGAAGGCAAUCCCCUGGGCCUGCACUGACGCUCAUGCACGAAAGCGUGGGGAGCAAACAGG